GCGUGGUUGAGAUCUGACCCGAGCGUUCAGGCGGUGCUCUUUCAGGACUCUGGCCUCCGAGGAACAAGUACGACUGGAGACAGGACAUACGAAGACAAAACCAACUAAUUAAACAAGCCGAUCAGCAUCUGAAUAACAAAGGACUACAAGUGCAAAGGUGAACAUGAACCAUUGAUUCUGGAUGUCCCAGCACACGCAGCUGGAUCUCUUACGCGUCUUCUGGACAGCCACGGUCGCACUAAUCUGAAGCUCGGCCGAGUGCUGUAGACGACCAGUCCGCCGAGGAGACAGCCCAGCACGCUGAACACAGCCAGCAGGCUGUAGACCACAUACACUGUGAAACAGGAAGACAGAAACACCAAUCAGAUUCCUACACUUUUCCUGUUUGGAAUAUAAACUUCUGAAGUCCCCUGAUAUAAACUGAACAAAGCUGAUCUCCUGGACGUUUCCACUGCUCGCUUUCUGUGUUAUUACACUACAUCAGAGUUAAUGAAUGUGAGUGCGUUAAUGGCUCUGCUUUGUCCUCAGAAUGAAUAGACUCAAGCUGAUUGUAGAAAAGAGGAGAGACAGACAGACAGACUGCACGUGUGGAUCACCUGUGAGUGUUUGGUUUGCGGUGUCAGAGUGCAACAGGUGUGACGUACGUGAGUCUGUGGGCUGAGGAGGGCUGGUGAAGGCGCAGUGAGCUUCGCCGGUCACAGACUUGAAGUUGAACAGUGUUUUCAGGGAGACGCUCACACAGUACUCCACACCUGGCUGCAGGUACGUGAUCGUGACCUCCUCUUUGUAAGGCUGACUCAGCGUGAACUGCAACACAAUAGACAAAUCAGCUGCUAAAGGCCAGGAACACGUGACCCGUGAAGCAGGAUGUGGUGCUGCAGCAAAUCGUUACCCCAGUCAUUCUUUCCACUGAUCUCCACUGAUUCUGUGCAUUGUUUAAAAUAACGUUUGUUUGUGAGAGUAGGCGACACAAUCCCCAGCUCAUUAAAUCAUUGGCAGCUCUGCCCCUGGCGUCUGCAUUUGGGUCCCACCUCUCGUGCUCCUCGUUAGCCAGCCUGCACAAACCUAACAGUUUAAUCUCUCCAUCACUGCGGCAGGCAGCCGUGGCUUCCCCUUGUUUCUAUCAUCCUCUUUUUACACCCAGAUUUGCCUUAAAGUGGUGGUUUCUGUAGGCGGUGCUUGUGUAUUUCUUUGUUCAGCUGUCCCUGCUCGCCGUAACUCACAGUCUCUCGUGAUUCCACAGAAGUUAUUGUUGCAGUUACUGAAGUGAAGCUGAUGCGUUUCACUUCCUGUGUCAGAGUUCUGUAGUUGCUUUUUUUUUUUUUCCAAGAAACAGCUGCCAAACACCAGGUGUUUGCUUCAUACGGCAGGAAACAGGCCGAAUCUCUGACGUGUCAAACGCUCUCCACUGAAUCUUCUCCGUAAACCUGCUAGAUGAAGAAAAUAAAAAGGCUCCCAGUGUUUCCUGAA
Scatophagus argus is the source of this 1470-nucleotide long non-coding RNA. RefSeq lists it as uncharacterized. The transcript has 2 exons. The record is from RefSeq and is a predicted model, not a curated record. Lineage: Eukaryota; Metazoa; Chordata; Actinopteri; Scatophagidae.